AGAGUUUGAAUCAUGGCUCAGGAUGAACGCUGGCGGCGUGCUUAAUACAUGCAAGUCGAACGAGUUCUGAUUAUUGAAAGGUGCUUGCAUCUUGAUUUAAUUUUGAACGAGUGGCGGACGGGUGAGUAACACGUGGGUAACCUGCCCUUAAGUGGGGGAUAACAUUUGGAAACAGAUGCUAAUACCGCAUAAAUCCAAGAACCGCAUGGUUCUUGGCUGAAAGAUGGCGUAAGCUAUCGCUUUUGGAUGGACCCGCGGCGUAUUAGCUAGUUGGUGAGGUAACGGCUCACCAAGGCAAUGAUACGUAGCCGAACUGAGAGGUUGAUCGGCCACAUUGGGACUGAGACACGGCCCAAACUCCUACGGGAGGCAGCAGUAGGGAAUCUUCCACAAUGGACGCAAGUCUGAUGGAGCAACGCCGCGUGAGUGAAGAAGGCUUUCGGGUCGUAAAACUCUGUUGUUGGAGAAGAAUGGUCGGCAGAGUAACUGUUGUCGGCGUGACGGUAUCCAACCAGAAAGCCACGGCUAACUACGUGCCAGCAGCCGCGGUAAUACGUAGGUGGCAAGCGUUAUCCGGAUUUAUUGGGCGUAAAGCGAGCGCAGGCGGUUUUUUAAGUCUGAUGUGAAAGCCCUCGGCUUAACCGAGGAAGUGCAUCGGAAACUGGGAAACUUGAGUGCAGAAGAGGACAGUGGAACUCCAUGUGUAGCGGUGAAAUGCGUAGAUAUAUGGAAGAACACCAGUGGCGAAGGCGGCUGUCUGGUCUGUAACUGACGCUGAGGCUCGAAAGCAUGGGUAGCGAACAGGAUUAGAUACCCUGGUAGUCCAUGCCGUAAACGAUGAAUGCUAGGUGUUGGAGGGUUUCCGCCCUUCAGUGCCGCAGCUAACGCAUUAAGCAUU
Molecule: ribosomal RNA, 898 nt
Filed under: Lacticaseibacillus rhamnosus
Lineage: Bacteria; Bacillati; Bacillota; Bacilli; Lactobacillales; Lactobacillaceae
Description: bacterial SSU rRNA
Rfam family: Bacterial small subunit ribosomal RNA
Source: RNAcentral